RNAcentral lists this unclassified non-coding RNA (566 nucleotides) under Hevea brasiliensis (rubber tree). The record is from RNAcentral. Lineage: Eukaryota; Viridiplantae; Streptophyta; Magnoliopsida; Malpighiales; Euphorbiaceae.
GAGUUUAACAAUAAUAGAGAAUAAUCAGUGAGUUUAACAAUAAUAGAGAAUAAUCAGUAAUUCAUUCAUCUAAGUGAAAGUACAUCCAAUAACAACAAUGAAGAGAUUACAACAGAACUGAGUGACUACAUUUUACCCAGUAAUCAUGGUUCCAAUGCCUUCCUCUGACAUAAUUUCGUGAAGCAAAGAGUGCUGAACCCUUCCAUCAAUGAUACUGGCAGUUCUCACACCUUGAGCAAGUGACCGUACACAACAAUUGACCUUAGGAAUCAUUCCACCAGCAACCUUCUUUUCUGCUAUCAUCCUCUUCACUCCCUUUAUAUCAAUCUCCUUCACCAAACUCUUUGGGUCAUCUCGAUUUUCCAGUAUGCCCGCCACAUCCGUCAACAGAAUAAGCUUCUCAGCCCCCAAAGCCGCCGCCAAUUCCCCAGCCACCGUGUCGGCAUUGAUAUUGUAUGAUUGGCCAGACUCAUCAGCCGCCACAGAGGCAAUCACAGGGAUGUGACCAUUAUCGACGAGGGGCUGGAGUAUGGUGGAAUCAACACGGGUGACUUCCCCGACAAAAC